GACGUAGGGCGCGAGCGUUGUCCGGAUUUAUUGGGCGUAAAGAGCUCGUAGGCGGCUUGUUACGUCGACUGUGAAAACCCACGGCUCAACCCCGGGCCUGCAGCCGAUACGGGCAGACUAGAGUUCGGCAGGGGAGACGUGGAAUUCCUGGUGUAGCGGUGAAAUGACGCAGAUAUCAGGAGGAACACCGGUGGCGAAGGCGGGUCUCUGGGCCGAUACUGACGCUGAGGAGCGAAAGCGUGGGGAGCGAACAGGA
This 256-nucleotide ribosomal RNA is filed under the name uncultured bacterium. Its description in RNAcentral is "partial 16S ribosomal RNA". It matches the Rfam family "Bacterial small subunit ribosomal RNA", at positions 524 to 777 of the family's 1533-position model. The record is from RNAcentral.